UACGUAGGGGGCGAGCGUGGUCCGGAGUUACUGGGCGUAAAGCGCACGCAGGCGGUCUGCUAAGUUUGGAGUGACAGUUGGUGGCUUAACUGCCAAAGUGCUUCGAAAACUGACAGACUUGAGGGCUUCAGAGGGACACGGAAUUCCGGGUGGAGUGGUGAAAUGCGUAGAGAUCCGGAGGAACACCAAAGGCGAAGGCAGUGUCCUGGGGAGUACCUGACGCUCAGGUGCGAAAGCCAGGGGAGCGAACGGG
RNAcentral lists this ribosomal RNA (253 nucleotides) under uncultured bacterium. Its description in RNAcentral is "partial 16S ribosomal RNA". It matches the Rfam family "Bacterial small subunit ribosomal RNA", at positions 524 to 776 of the family's 1533-position model. The record is from RNAcentral.